GGCGGUGGGAGCGCGCAUGCGCGCGGCCGCACAGCCUGGGCAGCGGGUACAGCCUGUGACGGGUGGCGGCGGUCGGUCCUGCCUGGAACAGCGGCGACUGCCCGUCCAGACACCUGCGGCGGCUGCUACCCCGCGGCGGGCGCGGAGAUGUGGCCCCUGGCGGCGGCGCUGUUGCUGGCCUCGGCGUGCUGCGGUUCAGCUCAGCUACUAUUUAAUAAAACAAAAUCUGUAGAAUUCACGUUUUGCAAUGAAACUGUUGUCAUCCCGUGCUGUGUUAAUAAUAUAGAGGCAGAAAACCUUAACGAACUGUAUGUAAAGUGGAGAUAUAAAGGAAAAGACAUUUACAGCUAUGAUGGUGUUGUCAACAAGUCCGCUACCUACGGUGAUUUUCACAGUGCAAGAAUGGACGUCCCAGAAUUACUAAAAGGGGAUGCCUCCUUGAAGAUCGAUAAGAGUGAAGCUCUCUUAGGAAAUUAUUCAUGUGAAGUGACAGAAUUAAGCAGAGAAGGCGAAACCUUCAUAGAACUAAAAUAUCGUGUUGUUCCAUGGUUUUCUCCAAAUGAAAAUAUUCUCAUUGUUAUUUUCCCAAUUUUUGCUGUACUCCUGUUUUGGGGACAGUUUGGUAUUAAAACACUUAAAUAUAAAUCCAGUCAUAUGGAUGAGAUAACCAUUGCUGUGCUUGUUGUUGGACUAGUAACCACUGCAGUAAUCAUUGUUGGAGCCAUUCUUUUCGUCCCAGGUGAAUAUUCAAUAAAGAAUGCUACUGGACUUGGUUUGAUUGUAGUUACUACCGGGUUAUUAUUAUUACUUCACUACUAUGUGUUUAAAACAACAAUUGGGAUUCCCUCCUUCGUCAUCGCCAUAUUGGUUAUGCAGCUGCUGGCCUAUGUACUCGCUGUGGUUGGGUUGAGUCUCUGUAUUUCGGCAUGUAUACCAGUGCAUGGCCCUCUUCUGAUCGCAGGUUUGAUUAUCUUUGCUCUAGCACAAUUACUUGGACUAGUUUAUAUGAAAUUUGUGGAGUUCAGAGGCACACCACCGGUCAGUUGAAAGGCAAGAAGAGACAAGCUUCCAAUCAGAAGACCAUAAAUCCUCCUAGGAAAGCUGUAGAAGAACCCCUUAAUGCAUUUAAAGAAUCAAAAGGAAUGAUGAAUGAUGAAUAACUGAAGUGAAGAGAUGGACUGUGAUUUGGAGAGUAGUAAGACGUGAAAGGAAUACACUUGUGUUUAAACACCAUGGCCUUGAUUCACUGUUGGGGAGAAGAAACCAAGAAAAGUAACUGGUUGUCAUUGUGGGAACAAAUAGUUGUUCCCUCAAAUGAUUGUUACAGUUAAGUUUUUAUUCAAAGCAGCUGUAAUUUAGUUAAUAAAAGACUUAUGAUGUGCUGUGUGCCCAACUGAGAUCCAGUUUUUUUGUUAUUUUUAUUCAAUUAGGGGCAAACGUAGAAUGGGCAGCUUCCAAGAAUGAUGCCUUUCAGAUCCUAGCACUUCUUGACUCUAGGUCACCAGUUUAAGUUAGUUCAGGGUGAGAAUUUCAUAGCACUAGCCUGGUGGUUACCCAGAGAUAUCAAUGAAAAACAGUGGCUUCCAUCAAACCUUAGAAAACUCAGGUUCACAACAGCAUUGGCAGUUACGAUAUUAGCUGAAUAAUGUGUCUGCCACUUAAGGGUCAAGGGAAUAGUGAAUUAAGUACAGACAGGAAUUCUAUUGGGAACAUCUGGUAUGCCACCCACGUGUGAUGUGAUUUUGAUAGAGACAGUGGUCUUCAUUCUUGGGGGUUGCCAUUCACACGUUCCUGUUCAACAUACAGUGUAACGAAUCCUUUCCAGAUUUAGGGUACUUUGAUUGAUGGAUGUGUUUUUCUUUUUUUCACACAACUCUUUAAACCCUGUCUUGUCCUCCUGUUAUUUGCUUCUGCUGUACAAGAUGUAGCACCUUUUCUCCUCUUUGAACAUGGUCCAGUGACACGGCAACAUGCAGGAAGGAGCCAGACUUGUUCUCAGAGCACUAUGUUCACACUUUUCAGCAAAAAUAGCUAUGGUUGUAACAUAUGUAUUCCCUUCCUCUGAUUUGAAGGCAAAAAUCUAUAGUGUUUCUUCACUUCUUUUCUGAUCCGAGGCAUGAAAAAGCAAGAUUGAAAUUUGAACUAUGAGUCUCCUGCAUGGCAACAAAAUGUGUGUCACCAUCAGGCCACCAGGCCAGCCCUUGACAGGGUGGUUUUAUUACUGUUGUAUUCUGUGUUGCAUGAUAAACACUCAUCUCCUUCCUCCUGUAGUCCUGCCUCGUACUCCCCUGCCCCUAAGAUCGAGAAGUAAAACAAAAACCACAUUUCCUAUCCCAGUUAGAAGAAAAUUAACGUUCUGACAGUUGUGAUCGCCUUGAGUACUUUUAGACUUCUAGCACUUGUUUUUUACCUCUUUGUGGGUGUGUGUUUGUAUGUGCAUAUGUAUAAGAUAGGCACAUGCAUCUUUUAUAUGGACAAAAGUGGGCUACCUACAGGAGCACAACGGCUAAUUUUGUGCUUUUAGUAAAAACAUUUAAAAACAAAGAUCUUUAUUGGGUGGAAUUAUAUUUGAUGCAAAUAUUUGAUCACUUAAAACUUUAAAAACUUCUAGAUAAUUUGCCAUGCUUUUUGACAGCUCACCAAUGCCCUCUAAAAAUAUAUAAUUCUUCCUAUUUGUGUAAUAAGACAUCCAUAUUUGUAAUUGCAUUAAUAGUUAUUUCUUAGUCCACUGAAUGUUCCCAUGUGCCUCUUUUAUGCCAAAUUGUCAUAUUUCAUGUUGGGACCAAGUGGUUUGCCCAUGGCAAACCUAAAUUUAUGACCUGCUGAGGCCUCUCAGAAAACGGAAUACACUAGCAAGACAGCUCUUCUUGAAGAUGAAAUAUAUAUUUUCUUCCCUGAUUGUAUAUCUGUUCAAGAUAUUAGCAUGUGUAGAGGGAACUGUAUUCCUUUAUACAAAUCUGAUGGCUCCUGCUGAUCUUUUUCCUUCUGAAAAUAUUUACAUUUUGCUAAUAUAGUUUGUUACUUUAGAAAUCAGUUUUGAUGAAAGGAGGGAUAAAAGCAGAUGGACUUGAAAAAGAUCCAAAUUCCUAUUCUCUAUUAAGAAAGUCAGGUAUGAAAAUAUUUAUAGUAAAAUUUUUUAUAAAGUUGUACCUUUUAAUAUGUCACAAACUCAUUUUUUGGAGGUUCGACCUUGGGUCUCAUCCGUUUGUUGUGUUCUCUCUAAUGCUGCCUGCCUUUUGAGGCAUUCACUGCCCUAGACGGUGCCACCCAAGAUAGCAGGGGAAAUGCCCUUCCUGGUUGUCAGCUUCUCUGGAUAAAGGACCACAGCUGCAGGAGUCCUCUUGCUUGGGCACCACUGGGCCAGUUCCUUCUCUUUAAGACAGACUUGUGGCUCCCAGUCUCUGUUACAUCAAAUUUAAAAUGCUAACUUCAUAUAUAUAGCUAACAAUGUUUUUGAGCAUCAUAUAUCUGUUUUGCUCCAUAAUAUGCUCCCUGAUCCCAGUUUUUGCUGUCCACCCUUCCAUUUUUAUUUAUCAUAUGUUCUCAGAGUAACAUCAUUUAUCAUUUUCUGCAACAACCUUUCCAGGCUUUUCGGCAAAAUCAAAUUUUUCUUCUCCUUCAAAAUGUUCUACUCCAGCCCUGCCCCCCACCCCACUGCUUUGCAAUCUGUCCCCAUCUGUCCUGCUGCCUCUUUCAUCUCCUUCUUACCUUUCCUAGUACUUUAUGCAUCUGUGCUUAGUUCAGUUGGCUUUUUAUGUCUUGCUCCUUUCACUUGAUUUUAAAGUUCCUUCUAUAGCAAGAGCCUUUCUUUAGUCCUUUCUCUCUUCCUGAAGUUUUUACAUACAUUAGAAGCUCAAUACAUAAGUUAGAUGAUUGAGAGUUUUCUGUAUUUAGAUUUUUCACUAUUUUUAAUAGGGUGAGCUAGAGAGGUUUUUUUGUUUUUGAGUUUGUUUUUUGUGGUUUUUUUUUGUUUUGUUUUUUUUGAUAAAUUUCACAUAUUCUAAAAACCUUAACAGGUGAUGAGUUUUCACCUGGAAACUCCUGGUCCAUUCUGUUUAAAUUCCUGAGAAUGUCAGAAUUAAAAUGAUGGGGCUGCCCCAUAGUUGGGAGUAUUGAUCUUUUCAGGAUGCUGUAGUCAAUUUAGUAAGUGACCAAUCAAACUAGGAUUUGAAUUAAUAAAGCUCAAAAAGUGAUAGCUUGUUCCUCCAUGUCAUUAAUAAAAAUUAAGCUCUAUAUCACCUUGUAGAUUUCUGUUGUCUUAAAAAUGGGUAUUCAAAAAUGUAGGUCUGCAGUAUAUGUAUGGAAACAUGCCCCUUUAUUUACCUGUUGUUGAAAACUGGAGAAAUAAUUGUCCGGCAACCCUUUAUCUUUCUAUUGUGUUUUAUUUGAUUGAGGGUUUUUUUAGAAACAGUUUUACAUGUGUCAUAUUUUCCAAAUUACUAACUGCCAUCACCCACUGGAGGUCCUUCGUUAAGUCAUUGUCAGUGGCUAAUAGGGAUAAGCCAGGUAUCUUUGAAGAGAUGAGCAGUAAGCGACAAGAAAGUUUUUCUGCCUUUAGCUCUGGCAACUCUUAAUUAUGAUCAUUUAAGACCAGCUUUCCCAUAAAUUUAGCCUUUUGAAAAAAAGAAAGCAUUUGUAAAAAGCUUCUCUGUGAGACAUCAGUGGAAUCUUAAAAGUGUUGUUAUCGUGGUUGGCGAGAAAGGAAAACAUUUUUGUUUUUAUCAAACGGAGCAUUAUUUACAAAAAAGCCAUUGUUGAGAAUUAGAUCCCACAUUGUAUAAAUAUCCAUUAACCAUUCUAAAUAAAGAGAACUCCAGUGUUGCUAUGUGCAAGAUCCUCACUUGGGGGCUUUUUUGCAUAGCAAUUAAAGGUGUGCUGUUUGUCAGUAGCCAUUUUUUUGCAGUGAUUUAAAGACCAAAGUUGUUUUACAGCUGUGUUACCGUUAAAGGGUUUUUUUUUUUAUAUGUAUUAAAUCAAUUUAUCACUGUUUGAAGCUUUGAAUAUCUGCAAUCUUUGCCAAGAUACUUUUUUAUUUAAAAAAAACAUAACUUUGUAAAUAGUACACUGUAAUAUUAUAUAUACUUAAUAAAACAUUUUAAGCUA
Molecule: non-coding RNA, 5103 nt
Organism: Microcebus murinus (gray mouse lemur)
Lineage: Eukaryota; Metazoa; Chordata; Mammalia; Primates; Cheirogaleidae
Source: RefSeq, a predicted model, not a curated record